Molecule: non-coding RNA, 30 nt
Filed under: Mus musculus (house mouse)
Lineage: Eukaryota; Metazoa; Chordata; Mammalia; Rodentia; Muridae
Source: RNAcentral
UGAGAGAAUUCAAGCAUUUGUAAUCUAGAG